UGGUGGAGUGAUUUGUCUGGUUAAUUCCGUUAACGAACGAGACCUCGACCUGCUAAAUAGUUUGGCGAAUUCCCUGUGGAUUCGCACCUAACUUCUUAGAGGGACUAUCGGUUCGCAGCCGGUGGAAGUUUGAGGCAAUAACA
RNAcentral lists this ribosomal RNA (143 nucleotides) under uncultured eukaryote. Its description in RNAcentral is "partial 18S ribosomal RNA". It matches the Rfam family "Eukaryotic small subunit ribosomal RNA", at positions 1299 to 1458 of the family's 1831-position model. The record is from RNAcentral.